GGGCUUGACAUCCCACGAACCUGCCUGAAAGGGCGGGGUGCCCGCAAGGGAGCGUGGAGACAGGUGGUGCAUGGCUGUCGUCAGCUCGUGUCGUGAGAUGUUGGGUUAAGUCCCGCAACGAGCGCAACCCUCACCCCUAGUUGCCACCGGGUAAAGCCGAGCACUCGAGGGGAACUGCCAGCGUCAAGCUGGAGGAAGGCGGGGAUGACGUCAAGUCAUCAUGCCCCUUACGCCCUGGGCUACACACGUGCUACAAUGGCCGGUACAAAGGGACGCGAGACUGCGAGGUGGAGCCAAUCCCAAAAAACUGGUCUAAGUUCAGAUUGCAGUCUGCAACUCGACUGCAUGAAGGAGGAAUCGCUAGUAAUCGCGCAUCAGCACGGCGCGGUGAAUACGUUCCCGGGCCUUGUACACACCGCCCGUCACACCACGAAAGCUGUCUGUACUCGAAGUCGCUGAG
RNAcentral lists this ribosomal RNA (460 nucleotides) under uncultured Methylomirabilota bacterium. RNAcentral's name for it is "bacterial SSU rRNA". It matches the Rfam family "Bacterial small subunit ribosomal RNA", at positions 977 to 1434 of the family's 1533-position model. The record is from RNAcentral. Lineage: Bacteria; Methylomirabilota (SeqCode).